GACGAACGCUGGCGGCGUGCUUAACACAUGCAAGUCGAGCGGUAAGGCCCUUUCGGGGGUACACGAGCGGCGAACGGGUGAGUAACACGUGGGUGACCUGCCCUCAGCUCUGGGAUAAGCCUGGGAAACCGGGUCUAAUACUGGAUAUGACUCCAUGACGCAUGUUGUGGGGUGGAAAGCCUUGUGCGGCUGAGGAUGGGCCCGCGGCCUAUCAGCUUGUUGGUGGGGNGAUGGCCUACCAAGGCGACGACGGGUAGCCGGCCUGAGAGGGCGACCGGCCACACUGGGACUGAGACACGGCCCAGACUCCUACGGGAGGCAGCAGUGGGGAAUCUUGCGCAAUGGGCGAAAGCCUGACGCAGCGACGCCGCGUGAGGGAUGGCGGCCU
This 388-nucleotide ribosomal RNA is filed under the name uncultured bacterium. Its description in RNAcentral is "bacterial SSU rRNA". It matches the Rfam family "Bacterial small subunit ribosomal RNA", at positions 28 to 417 of the family's 1533-position model. The record is from RNAcentral.